CCAAUAGCGUAUAUUAAAGUUGUUGCAGUUAAAAAGCUCGUAGUUGAAUUUCGGGGUUAGCAGGUUGGUCAUGCCUCUGGUAUGUACUGGUCUCACUGAUUCCUCCUUCCUGAUGAACCGUAAUGCCAUUAAUUUGGUGUUGCGGGGAAUCUGGACUGUUACUUUGAAAAAAUUAGAGUGUUUAAAGCAAGCUAACGCUUGAAUACAUUAGCAUGGAAUAAUGAAAUAGGACGUUCGAUCCUAUUUUGUUGGUUUCUAGGAUUGACGUAAUGAUUAAUAGGGAUAGUUGGGGGCAUUAGUAUUCAAUUGUCAGAGGUGAAAUUCUUGGAUUUAUUGAAGACUAACUACUGCGAAAGCAUUUGCCAAGGAUGUUUUCAUUAAUCAAGAACGAAAGUUAGGGGAUCGAAGACGAUCAGAUACCGUCGUAGUCUUAACCAUAAACUAUGCCGACUAGGGAUCGGAUGAUGUUAAUUUUUUAAUGACUCAUUCGGCGCCUUACG
RNAcentral lists this ribosomal RNA (500 nucleotides) under uncultured Glomeromycotina. Its description in RNAcentral is "partial small subunit ribosomal RNA". It matches the Rfam family "Eukaryotic small subunit ribosomal RNA", at positions 591 to 1092 of the family's 1831-position model. The record is from RNAcentral. Lineage: Eukaryota; Fungi; Glomeromycota.